UUAAGCGACUAAGCGUACACGGUGGAUGCCCUGGCAGUCAGAGGCGAUGAAGGACGUGCUAAUCUGCGAAAAGCGUCGGUAAGGUGAUAUGAACCGUUAUAACCGGCGAUGUCCGAAUGGGGAAACCCAGUGCAAUUCGUUGCACUAUCGUUAACUGAAUACAUAGGUUAACGAGGCGAACCGGGGGAACUGAAACAUCUAAGUACCCCGAGGAAAAGAAAUCAACCGAGAUUCCCCCAGUAGCGGCGAGCGAACGGGGAGCAGCCCAGAGUCUGAAUCAGCUUGUGUGUUAGUGGAACGGUCUGGAAAGUCCGACGGUACAGGGUGAUAGUCCCGUACACCAAAAUGCACAGGUUGUGAACUCGAAGAGUAGGGCGGGACACGUGGUAUCCUGUCUGAAUAUGGGGGGACCAUCCUCCAAGGCUAAAUACUCCUGACUGACCGAUAGUGAACCAGUACCGUGAGGGAAAGGCGAAAAGAACCCCGGCGAGGGGAGUGAAAAAGAACCUGAAACCGUGUACGUACAAGCAGUGGGAGCACCUUCGGGUGUGACUGCGUACCUUUUGUAUAAUGGGUCAGCGACUUAUAUUCUGUAGCAAGGUUAACCGUAUAGGGGAGCCGCAGGGAAACCGAGUCUUAACUGGGCGUUAAGUUGCAGGGUAUAGACCCGAAACCCGGUGAUCUAGCCAUGGGCAGGUUGAAGGUUGGGUAACACUAACUGGAGGACCGAACCGACUAAUGUUGAAAAAUUAGCGGAUGACUUGUGGCUGGGGGUGAAAGGCCAAUCAAACCGGGAGAUAGCUGGUUCUCCCCGAAAGCUAUUUAGGUAGCGCCUCGUGAANUCAUCUUCGGGGGUAGAGCACUGUUUCGGCUAGGGGGUCAUCCCGACUUACCAACCCGAUGCAAACUACGAAUACCGAAGAAUGUUAUCACGGGAGACACACGGCGGGUGCUAACGUCCGUCGUGAAGAGGGAAACAACCCAGACCGCCAGCUAAGGUCCCAAAGUCAUGGUUAAGUGGGAAACGAUGUGGGAAGGCACAGACAGCCAGGAUGUUGGCUUAGAAGCAGCCAUCAUUUAAAGAAAGCGUAAUAGCUCACUGGUCGAGUCGGCCUGCGCGGAAGAUGUAACGGGGCUAAACCAUGCACCGAAGCUGCGGCAGCGACACUAUGUGUUGUUGGGUAGGGGAGCGUUCUGUAAGCCUGCGAAGGUGNUGCUGGAGGUAUCAGAAGUGCGAAUGCUGACAUAAGUAACGAUAAAGCGGGUGAAAAGCCCGCUCGCCGGAAGACCAAGGGUUCCUGUCCAACGUUAAUCGGGGCAGGGUGAGUCGACCCCUAAGGCGAGGCCGAAAGGCGUAGUCGAUGGGAAACAGGUUAAUAUUCCUGUACUUGGUGUUACUGCGAAGGGGGGACGGAGAAGGCUAUGUUAGCCGGGCGACGGUUGUCCCGGUUUAAGCAUGUAGGCUGGUUGUCCAGGCAAAUCCGGAUAAUCAAGGCUGAGGUGUGAUGACGAGGCACUACGGUGCUGAAGUAACAAAUGCCCUGCUUCCAGGAAAAGCCUCUAAGCAUCAGGUAACAUUAAAUCGUACCCCAAACCGACACAGGUGGUCAGGUAGAGAAUACCAAGGCGCUUGAGAGAACUCGGGUGAAGGAACUAGGCAAAAUGGUGCCGUAACUUCGGGAGAAGGCACGCUGGUGUGUAGGUGAAGCCCCUGCGGGUGGAGCUGAGACCAGUCGAAGAUACCAGCUGGCUGCAACUGUUUAUUAAAAACACAGCACUGUGCAAACACGAAAGUGGACGUAUACGGUGUGACGCCUGCCCGGUGCCGGAAGGUUAAUUGAUGGGGUUAUCCGUAAGGAGAAGCUCUUGAUCGAAGCCCCGGUAAACGGCGGCCGUAACUAUAACGGUCCUAAGGUAGCGAAAUUCCUUGUCGGGUAAGUUCCGACCUGCACGAAUGGCGUAAUGAUGGCCAGGCUGUCUCCACCCGAGACUCAGUGAAAUUGAACUCGCUGUGAAGAUGCAGUGUACCCGCGGCAAGACGGAAAGACCCCGUGAACCUUUACUAUAGCUUGACACUGAACAUUGAGCCUUGAUGUGUAGGAUAGGUGGGAGGCUUUGAAGCGUGGACGCCAGUCUGCGUGGAGCCAACCUUGAAAUACCACCCUUUAAUGUUUGAUGUUCUAACGUUGGCCCCUNUGGAGCUGAGACCAGUCGAAGAUACCAGCUGGCUGCAACUGUUUAUUAAAAACACAGCACUGUGCAAACACGAAAGUGGACGUAUACGGUGUGACGCCUGCCCGGUGCCGGAAGGUUAAUUGAUGGGGUUAUCCGUAAGGAGAAGCUCUUGAUCGAAGCCCCGGUAAACGGCGGCCGUAACUAUAACGGUCCUAAGGUAGCGAAAUUCCUUGUCGGGUAAGUUCCGACCUGCACGAAUGGCGUAAUGAUGGCCAGGCUGUCUCCACCCGAGACUCAGUGAAAUUGAACUCGCUGUGAAGAUGCAGUGUACCCGCGGCAAGACGGAAAGACCCCGUGAACCUUUACUAUAGCUUGACACUGAACAUUGAGCCUUGAUGUGUAGGAUAGGUGGGAGGCUUUGAAGCGUGGACGCCAGUCUGCGUGGAGCCAACCUUGAAAUACCACCCUUUAAUGUUUGAUGUUCUAACGUUGGCCCCUGACCGGGGUUGCGGACAGUGUCUGGUGGGUAGUUUGACUGGGGCGGUCUCCUCCCAAAGCGUAACGGAGGAGCACGAAGGUUAGCUAAUCCUGGUCGGACAUCAGGAGGUUAGUGCAAUGGCAUAAGCUAGCUUGACUGCGAGCGUGACGGCGCGAGCAGGUGCGAAAGCAGGUCAUAGUGAUCCGGUGGUUCUGAAUGGAAGGGCCAUCGCUCAACGGAUAAAAGGUACUCCGGGGAUAACAGGCUGAUACCGCCCAAGAGUUCAUAUCGACGGCGGUGUUUGGCACCUCGAUGUCGGCUCAUCACAUCCUGGGGCUGAAGUAGGUCCCAAGGGUAUGGCUGUUCGCCAUUUAAAGUGGUACGCGAGCUGGGUUUAGAACGUCGUGAGACAGUUCGGUCCCUAUCUGCCGUGGGCGCUGGAGAAUUGAGGGGGGCUGCUCCUAGUACGAGAGGACCGGAGUGGACGCAUCACUGGUGUUCGGGUUGUCAUGCCAAUGGCACUGCCCGGUAGCUAAAUGCGGAAGAGAUAAGUGCUGAAAGCAUCUAAGCACGAAACUUGCCCCGAGAUGAGUUCUCCCUGAGACUUUAAGUCUCCUGAAGGAACGUUGAAGACGACGACGUUGAUAGGCCGGGUGUGUAAGCGCAGCGAUGCGUUGAGCUAACCGGUACUAAUGAACCGUGAGGCUUAACCUU
Molecule: ribosomal RNA, 3367 nt
Filed under: Klebsiella pneumoniae
Lineage: Bacteria; Pseudomonadati; Pseudomonadota; Gammaproteobacteria; Enterobacterales; Enterobacteriaceae
Description: 23S ribosomal RNA
Rfam family: Bacterial large subunit ribosomal RNA
Source: RNAcentral